UGGGGAAUUUUCCGCAAUGGGCGCAAGCCUGAUGCAGCCAUGCCGCGUGUAUGAAGAAGGCCUUCGGGUUGUAAAGUACUUUCAGCGGGGAGGAAGGCGAUAAGGUUAAUAACCUUGUCGAUUGACGUUACCCGCAGAAGAAGCACCGGCUAACUCCGUGCCAGCAGCCGCGGUAAUACGGAGGGUGCAAGCGUUAAUCGGAAUUACUGGGCGUAAAGCGCACGCAGGCGGUCUGUCAAGUCGGAUGUGAAAUCCCCGGGCUCAACCUGGGAACUGCAUUCGAAACUGGCAGGCUAGAGUCUUGUAGAGGGGGGUAGAAUUCCAGGUGUAGCGGUGAAAUGCGUAGAGAUCUGGAGGAAUACCGGUGGCGAAGGCGGCCCCCUGGACAAAGACUGACGCUCAGGUGCGAAAGCGUGGGGAGCAAACA
This 427-nucleotide ribosomal RNA is filed under the name uncultured bacterium. Its description in RNAcentral is "partial 16S ribosomal RNA". It matches the Rfam family "Bacterial small subunit ribosomal RNA", at positions 355 to 774 of the family's 1533-position model. The record is from RNAcentral.